UGAGUAACCUGCCCUAGGCUUUGGGAUAACCCUCGGAAACGGGGGCUAAUACUGGAUAUUCCCGCGGGAUCGCAUGGUUUUGUGGGGAAAGGUUUUCCGGCUUGGGAUGGGCUCGCGGCCUAUCAGCUUGUUGGUGGGGUGAUGGCCUACCAAGGCGACGACGGGUAGCCGGCCUGAGAGGGUGUCCCGCCACACUGGGACUGAGACACGGCCCAGACUCCUACGGGAGGCAG
This 233-nucleotide ribosomal RNA is filed under the name uncultured bacterium. RNAcentral describes it as "partial 16S ribosomal RNA". It matches the Rfam family "Bacterial small subunit ribosomal RNA", at positions 118 to 351 of the family's 1533-position model. The record is from RNAcentral.